Molecule: long non-coding RNA, 825 nt
Filed under: Homo sapiens (human)
Lineage: Eukaryota; Metazoa; Chordata; Mammalia; Primates; Hominidae
Description: HSALNT0398743
Source: RNAcentral
AGAAGACGGGAAGUGGCUGAGGGGAACGUCUUUUCUCUCUCCUGCUCAGCCCGAAGUGAACAGGUAGCAUCAGGUGUGCCAUUUCAGUGACUGGGCACAGCCCAGGCACCCACAUCUCUCUGCAGCGCCUAUUCUUGGAACACCAGAGACCUCUACACUAUUUUCUGUUGCUUUUUUCCUUCAUUUUCAGAGAUGAGAUCCUGGAUUGAAUGACUACUAUGGAAAGUGAUUGACCAAGAUUGUCUCCAUUCCUCCCUGGCUUCUCCACAGGGCCGCUCACCAUGGCAGCCGGCUCCAUCACCACCAGCCAGCGAGAGGGCAAGACAAGAGGGCUGACGAGGGACGCUACCAUCACAGAGGAUUAUAAACACUAGUCAUAAAGCAUGAACUGCCUGGGGGUGGUGGCUCACACCUGUAAUCCCAGCACUUUGGGAGGCAGUUGGAUCACCUGAGGUCAGGAGUUUGAGACUAGCCUGACCAAUAUGGUGAAACCCCACCUCUAGCUGGGUGUGGUGGUGUGCACCUGUAAUCCCAGCUACUUGGAGACAGGAGAAUCGCUUGAACCUGGGAGGUGGAAGUUGCAGUGAGUGGAGAUCAUGCCAUUGUACUCCAGCCUGGGCGACAGAGCAAGACUUCAUCUCAAAAAUAAGCAUUGACAACUGCGGGUCAAAACUGCCCCUGGUUGAGACUCACUGGCUGGAGCCAAAAGGCUGAGCUGCCUGCCCAACAGCAGCAGGGAAGGACAUCUGAUCCAGGCAGACUAGACCACCUGGGAUGAACAGACAAUCCUCAGAAGAACGAUCGAUUAGUGAUGUCUGCUUCAGG